GGUGCAUGGUUGUCGUCAGCUCGUGUCGUGAGAUGUUGGGUUAAGUCCCGCAACGAGCGCAACCCUUAUAUUUAGUUGCCAGCACUUCGGGUGGGCACUCUAGAUAGACUGCCGGUGACAAACCGGAGGAAGGUGGGGAUGACGUCAAAUCAUCAUGCCCCUUAUGACCUGGGCUACACACGUACUACAAUGGCCGGUACAACGGGCUGCGAAAUCGCGAGAUGGAGCCAAUCCCAACAAAGCCGGUCUCAGUUCGGAUUGCAGGCUGCAACUCGCCUGCAUGAAGUCGGAAUUGCUAGUAAUCGCGGAUCAGCAUGCCGCGGUGAAUACGUUCCCGGGUCUUGUACACACCGCCCGUCACACCACGAGAGUUUAUAACACCCGAAGUCGGUGGGGUAACCGCAAGGAGCCAGCCG
This 416-nucleotide ribosomal RNA is filed under the name Paenibacillus sp. RNAcentral's name for it is "bacterial SSU rRNA". It matches the Rfam family "Bacterial small subunit ribosomal RNA", at positions 1040 to 1455 of the family's 1533-position model. Lineage: Bacteria; Bacillati; Bacillota; Bacilli; Caryophanales; Paenibacillaceae. The record is from RNAcentral.